This 490-nucleotide ribosomal RNA is filed under the name uncultured bacterium. Its description in RNAcentral is "partial 16S ribosomal RNA". It matches the Rfam family "Bacterial small subunit ribosomal RNA", at positions 29 to 507 of the family's 1533-position model. The record is from RNAcentral.
AGUGAACGCUGGCGGUAGGCCUAACACAUGCAAGUCGAACGGCCGCACAGGAGACCUUGCUCUCUGGGUUGCGCGUGGCGGGCGGGUGUGGAAUAUAUAGGACUCUGCUCAGUCGUGGGGGAUAACGCAGGGAAACUUACGCUAAUACCGCAUACGUCCUUCGGGUGAUAGUGGGGGAUUGCAAGACCUUUUGCGUUUGGAUGAUCGGUUGUCGCAUUAGCUAGUUGGUGGGGUAAUGGCUCACCAAGGCGACGAUCCGUAGCUGGUCUGAGAGGUUGAUCAGCCACACUGGAACUGAGACACGGUCCAGACUCCUACGGGAGGCAGCAGUGGGGAAUAUUGGGCAAUGGGCGCAAGCCUGAUGCAGCAAUACCGCGUGAGUGAAGAAGGCCUUCAGGUUGUAAAGCCCUUUUGUUGGGAAAGAAAUCUUUCAGGCUAAUACCCGGGGAGGAUGACGGUACCCAAAGAAUAAGCACCGGCUAACUUCGUG